UACGGGGGGGGCAAGCGUUGUUCGGAAUUACUGGGCGUAAAGGGCUCGUAGGCGGCCAACUAAGUCAGACGUGAAAUCCCCAGGCUCAACCGGGGAACUGCGUCUGAUACUGGAUGGCUUGAGUUCGGGAGAGGGAUGCGGAAUUCCAGGUGUAGCGGUGAAAUGCGUAGAUAUCUGGAGGAACACCGGUGGCGAAGGCGGCAUCCUGGACCGAUACUGACGCUGAGGAGCGAAAGCCAGGGGAGCAAACGGG
This 253-nucleotide ribosomal RNA is filed under the name uncultured bacterium. RNAcentral describes it as "partial 16S ribosomal RNA". It matches the Rfam family "Bacterial small subunit ribosomal RNA", at positions 524 to 776 of the family's 1533-position model. The record is from RNAcentral.